Molecule: long non-coding RNA, 393 nt
Filed under: Mytilus galloprovincialis (Mediterranean mussel)
Lineage: Eukaryota; Metazoa; Mollusca; Bivalvia; Mytilida; Mytilidae
Source: RNAcentral
AUUUAAAUGAGUAGUUAUUGUUGCAAACUUCAUUAGAAAUUUGAAUUGAGAUCAGUUUUGAAAUAAGGGAAAGGGGGAUGUGAAAAAAAAAUUUGGGGGGUCAAUUUUUUUCAUUUCAGAUUUCAUAAAUAAAAAGAAAAUUUAUUCAAACAUUUUUUUGAGAGGAUUAAUAUUCAACAGCAUAGUGAAUUGCUCAAAGGCAAAACAAAAAUUUUAAGUUCAUUAGACCACAUUCAUUCUGUGUCAGAAACCUAUGCUGUGUCAACUAUUUAAUCACAAUCCAAAUUUAGAGGUGAAUCCAGCUUGAAUGUUGUGUCCAUACUUGCCCCAACCGUUCAGGGUUCAACCUCUGCGGUCGUAUAAAGCUGCGCCCUGCGGAGCAUCUGGUUAGUC